This is a ribosomal RNA of Coccidioides immitis RS, 1800 nucleotides long. It matches the Rfam family "Eukaryotic small subunit ribosomal RNA". The record is from Rfam. NCBI's taxonomy places the organism in Eukaryota, Fungi, Ascomycota, Eurotiomycetes, Onygenales, Onygenaceae.
UAUCUGGUUGAUUCUGCCAGUAGUUAUAUGCUUGUCUCAAAGAUUAAGCCAUGCAUGUCUAAGUAUAAGUAAUUUGUAUGGUGAAACUGCAAAUGGCUCAUUAAAUCAGUUAUCAUUUAUUUGAUAGUACCUUACUACAUGAAUACCCAUGGUAAUUCUAGAGCUAAUACAUGCUAAAAACCUCAACUUUGAAAGGGGUGUAUUUAUUAGAUAAAAAAUCAAUGCUCUUUGGGGCUCUUUGGUGAUUUAUAAUAACUUGUCAAAUUACAUGGCCUUGUGCUGGCAAUGGUUCAUUCAAAUUUCUGCCCUAUCAACUUUUGAUGGUAGGAUAGUGGCCUACCAUGGUGGCAACAGGUAAUGAAGAAUUAGAGUUUGAUUCUGGAGAGGGAGCCUGAGAAACAGCUACCACAUUCAAGAAAGACAGCAGGUGCACAAAUUACUCAAUCCCAACAUGGGGAGGUAGUGACAAUAAAUACUGAUACAGGGCUCUUUCAGGUCUUGUAAUUAAAAUGAGUACAAUCUAAAUCUCUUAACAAGAAACAAUUGGAGGGCAAGUCUGGUGCCAGCAGCUGCAGUAAUUCCAGCUCCAAUAGUGUAUAUUAAAGUUGUUGCAGUUAAAAAGCUUGUAGUUGAAUCUUGGGUCUGGCUGGCCAGUCCACUUCACAGUGUGCACUGGUCUGGCUGAAUCUUUUCUUCUGGGGAACCCUAUGGCCUUCACUGACUGUAGGGGGAACCAGGACUUUUACUGUAAAAAAAUUAGAGUAUUUAAAGCAGGCCUUUGCUUGGAUACAUUAGCAUGGAAUAAUAGAAUAGGAUGUGUGGUUCUAUUUUGUUGGUUUCUAGAACUGCUGUAAUGAUUAAUAGAGAUAGUUGGGAGCAUCAAUAUUUGGCUGUCAGAGGUUAAAUUCUUGGAUUUGCUGAAGACUAACUACUGUAAAAGCAUUUGCCAAGAAUGUUUUCAUUAAUCAGUGAACAAAAGUUAGGGGAUCAAAGACAAUCAGAUACUAUUAUAGUCUUAACCAUAAACUAUACUAACUAGAGAUUGGACAGGCAACUUUGAAUAAUCUGUUCAGCAUCUUAUGAGAAAUCAAAGUUUUUGAGUUCUGGAGGGAGUAUGAUUGCAAGGCUGAAACUUAAAGAAAUUAACAGAAGGGCACUACCAGAUAUGAAGUCUGCAGCUUAAUUUGACUCAAUACAGAGAAACUCAUCAGGUCCAGACAAAAUAAGAGUUGACAGAUUGAGAGCUCUUUCUUGAUCUUUUGAAUGGUGGUGCAUAGCUGUUCUUAGUUGAUGGAGUGAUUUAUCUGCUUAAUUAUGAUAAUGAAUGAGAUCUUAAUCUGCUAAAUAGCCCAACUCAUGUUUGUGAGCUGCUGGCUUCUUAGAGGGACUAUUGACUUAAGCUGAUGGAAGUUUGAGAUAAUAACAGAUCUGUAAUGCUCUUAGAUAUUCUGGGCUGCACAUGUGCUACACUGACAGGGCCAGCAAGUACAUCAUCUUGGUCAAGAGGUCUGGAUAAUCUUGUUAAAUCCUGUUGUGCUGGAGAUAGAGCAUUGCAAUUAUUGCUCUUCAACAAGAAAUGUCUAGUAGGCACAAGUCAUCAGCUUAUACUAAUUAUGUCCCUGCUCUUUGUACAUACCACCCAUCACUACUACCAAUUGAAUAGCUCAGUGAGGCCUUCAGACUGAUUCAGAGAGAUUGGCAACAACCACCCAGAGCCAGAAAGUUGGUCAAACUUGAUUAUUUAGAGAAAGUAAAAGUCAUAACAAGGUUUCUGUAGGUGAAUCUGUGGAAGAAUCAUUA